Molecule: unclassified non-coding RNA, 1911 nt
Filed under: Hevea brasiliensis (rubber tree)
Lineage: Eukaryota; Viridiplantae; Streptophyta; Magnoliopsida; Malpighiales; Euphorbiaceae
Source: RNAcentral
UUUUACAAGAAUUCAAUUCAAUUGGUUUUGGUCUAUUCUCAUUUUUGGAAUGAAAGAAUUCAAUUAUUUUUAACUUAACAAAAUUUUUCAUUUUAAAAGAAAUAGAUUCAUGCAUGAUUGUGCGAGUCUUUCUUGCAAAUGAUUUAUUCCAAUGGAAGCCUUAAUGAACUUUCUCCUUCAAUGACUAUGCAAGUUCUAACAGCAUCUAGCAAAUGAUGUAGAAUAUGAAAUCCAGCUGCUAAGAGAAUAUUUCAAUAGAGCAAGAUACCCGGAAUAAUAGUACAUGAAUACAAUACAAUAAGCGCACAUUUCAAGCCUGUUGCACUGGCAGAAAUGGUUGAUGUCUGCAAUCAAAGACCGUCAAAAAACCGGAUAUGGUCUUCAAAUGUCUCCCCGUGCCGUAUUUUGGCCACUGAUCCAUCUUCUUCAACCCAGUACUCAGGAGGGCGCAUCUUCAGAUUGUAUGUUGAUGCCAUACUCAUGCAAUAAGCACCAGCAUCAUGGACAACCAAACCAGCUCUCUCAGCUGGAGUUGGAAGUUCUCUAUCCUUUCCUAAGAAAUCAGCAGAUUCACAAACAGGACCCACCACAUCAAAAGUUGAAACUUCAGCGUUAGUUGGUGCAGGAGAAACAAGUUCUAUGUGUUGAUAUGCACCAUAAAGACUAGGACGAAUAAGUUCAGCCAUGCUACCAUCAAUCACAAUAAAAUUUUUAGUUCCAUUAGUUUUCACCCCAGUGACCCUGUUGACCAGGCAGCAGGUAUUUGCAAUUAGUGAUCUCCCUGGUUCAAUGAUGAGAUUUAGAUUCCGUGAGAGUACCAAUUCUCGAACAGUAUUGAUGAGAUCUCUUGGUGAAGGAAGGAUAGCACCAGUAUGAUAAUAAUCUAUGCCCAAACCACCUCCAAUGUUUAGGUAAUCAACUUCAAAACCUUGUGCACGAAUUUGGUCAAUGUAGUUGAACAUGAGAACUGCAGCAUCCCUGAAAAUGUCCACCUUGGUAAUGGUUGAGCCAAGAUGGCAAUGGGCCCCCACAAGCUUCAGCUCAUUAGGAUGUGCCUUUACAGCAUCAAGAAACCAUUGCAGCUUCUCAUUUCUGAUGCCAAAUUUAGAGUUCUUAUUCCCAGUGGCAACAUAAGGAUGAACCUGAGGGUCCACAUCUGGAUUGAUUCGAAGUAAAACAUUAACCUUUUUGCCAGCAAUUCUAGCAGCUGCUACAAUAUUCUCUAAAUCAAAUUCACUAUCCACAUUAACAAAGACACCUUCUUGGGCAGCUAACACCAAAUCCUCCAGCAGCUUCCCAUUUCCAUUAAAAAUGCACCUUGCGGGAUCGAAUCCAGCAUGAAGAGCCAACCUGAGCUCAUUGCCACUAACCAGCACAGCUCCACAACCCAAUUGCCUCAAGUGCUCCAAAAUCUUCAAAUUAUUAUUAGCCUUAAUUGCAUACCCAAUAAUGGAUCUCAAUCCCUCUAAAGCAUCUCUGUAAGCCUCAAAAUUCCGAGUAAUCUGAGGCUUACUGUACAAAUAAAAGGGUCUUUUCUCAACAUUCUCCAUGAUAUCCUGCACCUUGAGUUUCUCACAAUAGAGGAAGCCAUCAGGAGAUUUUGUAAAACAAUGCUUAAACGGCGCAGUUUCUUUGGUUACGGUAUUAGCAGGGUUCUGGGACAAAACUGCUUUGAGAGACAGAGACUUUACAAAGGAUUUGUUGCUUCUAACGGUUAAAAGAGGAGUUUUAAGAAAUAGGUUUUGACUCAAAGGAAAAGUUACGGUUUUGGCGAGAGAGGGUGGAUGGGAGAGGUGGGUAGUGGCGGCCAUUGAUGAACAAGUAGAGCAAAGAAAGAGAGACUGAGAGAGUGUCUAGACUGGAGGGCUUAAGAAAACUAAACUGCAGGGUCAAAUGAAAAACGUCUAUAUU